Molecule: ribosomal RNA, 497 nt
Filed under: uncultured bacterium
Lineage: Bacteria
Description: partial 16S ribosomal RNA
Rfam family: Bacterial small subunit ribosomal RNA
Source: RNAcentral
GAUGAACGCUGGCGGCGUGCCUAAUACAUGCAAGUCGAGCGAACGGACGAGACGCUUGCUUCUCUGAUGUUAGGGGCGGACGGGUGAGUAACACGUGGAUAACCUACCUAUAAGACUGGGAUAACUUCGGGAAACCGGAUCUAAUACCGGAUGAUAUUUUGAACCGCAUGGUUCAAAAGUGAAAGACGGUCUUGCUGUCACUUAUAGAUGGAUCCGCGCUGCAUUAGCUAGUUGGUAAGGUAACGGCUUACCAAGGCAACGAUGCAUAGCCGACCUGAGAGGGUGAUCGGCCACACUGGAACUGAGACACGGUCCAGACUCCUACGGGAGGCAGCAGUAGGGAAUCUUCCGCAAUGGGCGAAAGCCUGACGGAGCAACGCCGCGUGAGUGAUGAAGGUCUUCGGAUCGUAAAGCUCUGUUAUUAGGGAAGAACAGAUGUGUAAGUAACUGUGGACAUCUUGACGGUACCUAAUCAGAAAGCCCCGGCUAACUACGUG